UACGGGGGGGGCAAGCGUUGUUCGGAAUUACUGGGCGUAAAGGGCUCGUAGGCGGCCAACUAAGUCAGACGUGAAAUCCCUCGGCUUAACCGGGGAACUGCGUCUGAUACUGGAUGGCUUGAGAUUGGGAGAGGGAUGCGGAAUUCCAGGUGUAGCGGUGAAAUGCGUAGAUAUCAGGAGGAACACCAAUAGCGAAGGCAGCUCGCUGGGACGGUAUUGACGCUGAGGCGCGAAAGCGUGGGGAGCAAACAGG
Molecule: ribosomal RNA, 253 nt
Filed under: uncultured bacterium
Lineage: Bacteria
Description: partial 16S ribosomal RNA
Rfam family: Bacterial small subunit ribosomal RNA
Source: RNAcentral